This 821-nucleotide ribosomal RNA is filed under the name uncultured bacterium. RNAcentral describes it as "bacterial SSU rRNA". It matches the Rfam family "Bacterial small subunit ribosomal RNA", at positions 60 to 848 of the family's 1533-position model. The record is from RNAcentral.
AGUCGAGCGAGCGGAACCACAGAUUUACUUCGGUAAUGACGUUGGGAAAGCGAGCGGCGGAUGGGUGAGUAACACGUGGGGAACCUGCCCCUAAGUCUGGGAUACCAUUUGGAAACAGGUGCUAAUACCGGAUAAUAAAGCAGAUCGCAUGAUCAGCUUUUGAAAGGCGGCGUAAGCUGUCGCUAAGGGAUGGCCCCGCGGUGCAUUAGCUAGUUGGUAAGGUAACGGCUUACCAAGGCGACGAUGCAUAGCCGAGUUGAGAGACUGAUCGGCCACAUUGGGACUGAGACACGGCCCAAACUCCUACGGGAGGCAGCAGUAGGGAAUCUUCCACAAUGGACGCAAGUCUGAUGGAGCAACGCCGCGUGAGUGAAGAAGGUUUUCGGAUCGUAAAGCUCUGUUGUUGGUGAAGAAGGAUAGAGGUAGUAACUGGCCUUUAUUUGACGGUAAUCAACCAGAAAGUCACGGCUAACUACGUGCCAGCAGCCGCGGUAAUACGUAGGUGGCAAGCGUUGUCCGGAUUUAUUGGGCGUAAAGCGAGCGCAGGCGGUUUCUUAGGUCUGAUGUGAAAGCCUUCGGCUUAACCGGAGAAGUGCAUCGGAAACCAGGAGACUUGAGUGCAGAAGAGGACAGUGGAACUCCAUGUGUAGCGGUGAAAUGCGUAGAUAUAUGGAAGAACACCAGUGGCGAAGGCGGCUGUCUGGUCUGUAACUGACGCUGAGGCUCGAAAGCAUGGGUAGCGAACAGGAUUAGAUACCCUGGUAGUCCAUGCCGUAUACGAUGAGUGCUAAGUGUUGGAGGGUUUCCGCCCUUCAGUGCUG